Mytilus californianus (California mussel) is the source of this 748-nucleotide long non-coding RNA. RefSeq lists it as uncharacterized. The record is from RefSeq and is a predicted model, not a curated record. The transcript has 3 exons. NCBI's taxonomy places the organism in Eukaryota, Metazoa, Mollusca, Bivalvia, Mytilida, Mytilidae.
AAAUAUGAAUUUCGAAACGAAGACAGGAUGUCAACAAAGAGAGCCAAGAAAAUUGUUUGUUACGCGAUAUAUACUCACUUGGAGCUAAAAGAAAAGCCACAAAGGACAAAUUCAAUAUGCAGGUUUACAAUUUGGAAGUGGCGCAGGUUCUUUGGAAUGUCUACAACCUUUCAGGAGAAUUUUUUUUUUGAAAAGCAUGGCACAGCAAGAAAAAGAUAUAAGACACUACAAGACAUUCCAAGUGAUUUUGAAUAAGACAAUUGAUUGACUUUUUCAAUGUAUUCUUAAAUAAAUGAAAUAGUUGAUGUAAAAUGGUGUUUUGUUCUCAUCUCUUCAGCCAAUUAUCAAUGAUUAUUGACUUAAGAUUUAACCCUAUUAGAAGUGUAGCGUUUUAGUUUAGAAAGAGAAGUUGUAUUGAAAAAUCUGAAUUUGGGACACAAGUUUUAGUCAAUGUAACUUGAACUUAAAAAUGUGGAUAAUGUUUGCAUAAUGUCCAAUGGCAUAUAUGUCAUGCAUGUUCAGGUUGACAUAUGCAUGAUGUGUAUAAGAUAGGUAAUAAAAGUUGAGAGUGAAAAACUAAAAAUUAUACCAUUGUGGUUAGAAUGUGGGCUUUCUUGCACUGUCUGUCGUCUGUCCACCUAUAUUUGUCGGAUUUUGUCCAACAAAUAUUUUCAUCACUGUUUUUCCCAAAACUGCUGAUCAAGAUGAGGUCAUAUUUAAUGUUGAAUGUUCUCAAAUUUUUCAUUAC